Molecule: long non-coding RNA, 1527 nt
Filed under: Homo sapiens (human)
Lineage: Eukaryota; Metazoa; Chordata; Mammalia; Primates; Hominidae
Description: long independently transcribed non-coding RNA 2503, transcript variant 2 (LINC02503)
Source: RNAcentral
AAGUCCGUAGUUUACAUUAAGGAAGACUCCUGAUGUUGUACACUCUAUGGAUUCUACAAAUGUAUAAUGGUACGAAUCCUGGAAGUGGAAAGGAAGGGGCAUGAAUUUCGGAAAUGGGGAAGAAGAAGAAACGACAGCAACUAGAUGUCAUAAUUUACAGCAGCAGAUGUGAAGCAAGUUUUUGGAUUAUGGCCAGUGGAAAGAAAGCAUGCCAGACAGCUAAUGGGAGGCAAGAGUAGUGUGACAUGUGGAUGGACUGGAGGGCAGGGUAAAUGCUGGAGGGGCUCCAAUUUGGAAGUGUUACAUUAUCAAGUUAAAUCAUAAGAGCAAUUUAUAAAAGAGAUAGCUUGGAAUUAAACUACAAAAGCUGCUUAAGGUAAAAUAUGCGAGGGAACUCUCUUGUUGCCAUUGUGAGACCCUGGAGAACAGAUGGAACCAACUCUCAAGCUUCUGCUCGGGCAGAAAUAAAGAUGUUCUUUGAAACCAACGAGAACAAAGACACAACAUACCAGAAUCUCUGGGACACAUUCAAAGCAGUGUGUAGAGGGAAAUUUAUAGCACUAAAUGCCCACAAGAGAAAGCAGGAAAGAUCCAAAAUUGACACCCUAACAUCACAAUUAAAAGAACUAGAAAAGCAAGAGCAAACACAUUCAAAACCUAGCAGAAGGCAAGAAAUAACUAAAAUCAGAGCAGAACUGAAGGAAAUAGAGACACAAAAAACCCUUCAAAAAAUUAAUGAAUCCAGGAGCUGCUUUUUUGAAAGGAUCAACAAAAUUGAUAGACCGCUAGCAAGACUAAUAAAGAAGAAAAGAGAGAAGAAUCAAAUAGAUGCAAUAAAAAAUGAUAAAGGGGAUAUCACCACCGAUCCCACAGAAAUACAAACUACCAUCAGAGAAUACUACAAACACCUCUACACAAAUAAACUAGAAAAUCUAGAAGAAAUGGAUAAAUUCCUCAACACAUACACCCUCCCAAUACUAAACCAGGAAGAAGUUGAAUCUCUGAAUAGACAAAUAACAGGCUCUGAAAUUGUGGCAAUAAUCAAUAGCUUACCAACCAAAAAGAGUCCAGGACCAGAUGGAUUCACAGCCGAAUUCUACCAGUGGUACAAGGAGAAACUGGUACCAUUCCUUCUGAAACUAUUCCAAUCAAUAGAAAAAGAGGGAAUCCUCCCUAACUCAUUUUAUGAGGCCAGCAUCAUCCUGAUACCAAAGCCGGGCAGAGACACAACCAAAAAAGAGAAUUUUAGACCAAUAUCCUUGAUGAACAUUGAUGCAAAAAUCCUCAAUAAAAUACUGGCAAACUGAAUCCAGCAGCACAUCAAAAAGCUUAUCCACCAUGAUCAAGUGGGCUUCAUCCCUGGGAUGCGAGGCUGGUUCAAUAUAUGCAAAUCAAUAAAUGUAAUCCAGCAUAUAAACAUAACCAAAGACAAAAACCACAUGAUUAUCUCCAUAGAUGCAGAAAAGGCCUUUGACAAAAUUUGGCACUCUUGUUCUUUCAAAUAAAUCUUUUUUCCUACCCUGCUGA